GCCAGAAAGUGGUUCUCACUUCAUGCCUUGGAAUAUGUGUGAGGGGCAUCCACACAGCUAAAGAAGGCAGCUGGAUGUUUCAGUGGGGGUGUUGGCUGGGAUCUAGUUCCAGCCUUGCCACUUUUCUGUGUGGCGUUGGGCAAGUCACUUCUCCUCUUUGAGCCUCAGUUUCCUUGUGUGUGGAGUAAACUGUUUGUUGGAGAGGAAGUCUGGGUAGCCUGCCUGUUUCGAGUCCCUGCGACCUGCAAGAUCUUUGAGAACCUGGACUCAGGACCCAGAGAGAUCCUGGGCAAGUCACUUACCGUCUCAGUGCUGGAUUAACAGUGAAAUAGCAAAACGCCUGCUUCUUUAGGUUUUGUGAGGAGUAAAUGGAUGAGUACGUGUAAAGUGUCUGGAACAGCGUCUGGCCCGUGCACCUGGUGUGGGACCUGGCAGGCGCUGGCUGAAAUGAGAGUUGAAUUAAAAUUCCGUGAAGAAACAUCCAGCUUCGAAGCAGAUCUAUGAAGAGGAAGGGAGCAUUAAGUCCAGCCUCAAACUUCAGGAAAACAGUAGUCAAAAAAGAAACAGCCCUCGCCGCCCCUCAGCCCCAGGCCAGCAACCUGAGCUGCAGAAGGAAAGCAGCAAUUAUGGUUUGGGGUUUCUCCCCCUCCUCUCCAGCUUCUGGACUCACUUUUCAUCUUCCUCCUGCCUUUUGAGACCUUCGCAUUGAGCUCCACGGGACUGCGCUCCUGGAGUGCCUGGGGUGGGGGCGCGGCAAAGCCCUCACCCCCUCCGAGAGCCCGGGGUGGAGCGGCGGCCCCCGGGGGACAGGCUGGUGCCCCCUCUGCUAAUCCGCAGCCCGCAACUCUGGCCCAGCGCCUGGCAGCUCACCCCUCGCCCAAGGAAAUUUAUUAGCAGAGGCCGCGGGGAGGGCCGGGUUCCUGAGACUUCAUUACUCUUACAAAAUAUACUAUGGGACGUUUACUAGUGUCCCAUGAAGUGUGGCCAUAAAUCAGGGGCUCCGAGGCGCUUGUCAGAAGAAAUGAGGAAAGUGCGUUUGCUCGCGCCCCCGUGGCCUUGCCGGCACCGGUAGCAUCCCUGUCCCUGAUCAAGGACACCUCGGCCACCCGCCUGGCCCAGGGACUGGGCACAGAGCUGUCCCAGAUUCGCAACGAAAAUGUCAUCCAACUUCGAAUGCACACAUGUCACACACUGAAUCUCUCCUGGAAAUAUUUCCUCUGCCAAUUUUAUUCUCCCGGCCCCAGGGACCUACAAAACUUCUGUGCAGCACGAUCCUGUUUCUAAUAUACACACAUGAAGGAAAUACCCCCGAAGGUUAGCAGUGAUUCUCGCUUGGUAGAACAAUCACAGGUGACUUUUAUUAACUUCUUUAUACUUUCCCAGAUUUUCCACACUCUAAAAA
Piliocolobus tephrosceles (Ugandan red Colobus) is the source of this 1402-nucleotide long non-coding RNA. RefSeq lists it as uncharacterized. Lineage: Eukaryota; Metazoa; Chordata; Mammalia; Primates; Cercopithecidae. The transcript is spliced from 3 exons. The record is from RefSeq and is a predicted model, not a curated record.